RNAcentral lists this ribosomal RNA (851 nucleotides) under uncultured marine bacterium. RNAcentral describes it as "bacterial SSU rRNA". It matches the Rfam family "Bacterial small subunit ribosomal RNA", at positions 38 to 884 of the family's 1533-position model. The record is from RNAcentral.
GGGGGGAGUCUGCGCUACCAUGCAGGCGAGCGGGAAGUAUCUUCGGAUAUGAGUAGAGCGGCGGACGGGUGAUUAACGGGUACGACUCUACCUAGUACAAGGGGAUAGCCCGGGGAAACUCGGAUUAAUACGGUAUACCUCCUAAGGGAGAAGGAGGGCCUCUCUUGAUGCUCUCGCUAUUAGAUGAGCCUGCCUAAGAUUAUCUUGUUGGUAAGGUGAUGGCUUACCAUGGCUACGAUCUUUAACUGGUCGGAGAGGACUAUCAGCCUCAUUGGGACUGAGACACGGCCUUUCACUCCUACGGGAGGCAUCAGUGGGGAAUAUUGGACAGUGGGCGCAAGCCUGAUCCAGCCGUACCGCGUGUGUGAAGAAGGCCUUCGGGUUGUAAAGUACUUUAACCUUGGAGAAAAUGUUAUAAGUUAAUACCUUAUAACCGUGAUGUUACCUGCAUAAUAAGCACCGGCUAAGUCCGUGCCCGCAGCCGCGGUAAUACGGAAGGUGCAAGCGUUAAUCUGAAUUACUGGGCGUAAAGCGCGCGUAUGUGGUUUGUUAAGUUGGAUGUGAAAGCCCUGGGUUCAACCUAUGAACUGCAUCCGAAACUAUCUCCCUAUAGUACCAUAGAGGGAGGUAUAAUUCAUAGUGUGGCGGUGGACUGCGUAAAUCUUAUGAAUAAUACCCUUGGCGAAGGCGGCCUCCUGGAUCUGUACUGACACUGAGGUGCGAACGCUUGGGUACCUUACCGGAUUACAUACCCUGGUCAUCCACGCCGUAGAGGAUGACCACGAUCUGUUGGGAGACUAUGUCUUUCAGUGGCGCAGCUUACGUGUUAAUUUGUCCGCCUGAGGAGUACU